Molecule: ribosomal RNA, 322 nt
Filed under: uncultured eukaryote
Lineage: Eukaryota
Description: partial 18S ribosomal RNA
Rfam family: Eukaryotic small subunit ribosomal RNA
Source: RNAcentral
CCCUUAGAUGUUCUGGGCCGCACGCGUGCUACACUGAGUGGAUCAGCGGGUCAGGUUACGCGAGAGCGUUUCCUAAUCUUCAAAUCCGCUCGUGAUGGGGAUUGACGGUUGCAAUUUUCCGUCAUGAACGAGGAAUACCUUGUAAGCGCGGGUCAUCAUCCCGCGCUGAAUACGUCCCUGCCCUUUGUACACACCGCCCGUCGCUCCUACCGAUUGAGUGGUCCGGUGAGGCUUUGGGAUCUAAGCGAAAAGAGCGUUUCGCUCCUUUUGCUGGGAGAACUCAGUCGAACCUUACCAUUUAGAGGAAGGAGAAGUCGUAACA